Long non-coding RNA from Pelodiscus sinensis (Chinese soft-shelled turtle), 798 nucleotides. RefSeq lists it as uncharacterized. NCBI's taxonomy places the organism in Eukaryota, Metazoa, Chordata, Testudines, Trionychidae. The record is from RefSeq and is a predicted model, not a curated record.
GGGACCAUUGUAUGCAUUGCAGGCUGGGAGAUAUCCAUCUGGAAGGAAGAAGAAUGAUGUAUGUCUCUCCCAGAGUAGUUAGAACUCAGCAAAGUUAAAUGAUGUCCAAGGGAAUCACAUCUUUGGCCCAAGGAAGCUUUAAUGCCAGGUCUUUCACAGGAAGUGUACCUUGUGGUUGGAGCAGGGAGUGGGAAUCAACUUCCAAUUCUACAAAGGAAGAAUUAUCAAGCAAUUAAACAGGGGGACUGGGAGUCACAACUUUGAGCUUUCAUUUUUGACAGUCAGAUUUGUUGCAUGAUCAGGGGAGUCCAUGUUGCCCCACAAUCAACAACAGAAUGAACCCCAGGACCCGUGCAGUGAAUCUGAGGUUUUAAAGGGAUUACCGAUUAUCUCAGAGGUAACAAGGUUUGCCUGCCAGUUCGUGACCAGAUUUUCCUGAAUUAGUGAACCCCAAAAACAAACCUUGAUGCAGACCAGGCCAGCUUGCCUGCCCAGGAAAGAAGAGCUCCUGGAUCCUGCUGGCUCUCAUUCAUGUGGCAUGGUAUCAAAACAACAAAAACAGCCAUCAGCAAUGAAGUGUGAGAAUCUAACUGGACAUUUAACCUGCCACAGACAUACCCCAUCUUGUGUUUUAGCAGUAAAGGAAAGGGCUUACCUCUCAGCUGCAGUCACCUCUAGUAUAUCCAUCACUUCAACUGGAUAUCAACCAUAUGCACAGCUUCUGGUGUCAGACAGCUUUAACUUCAAGGAACACUUCCCUGGCUCCAGAUUUUAGAUAUGGUGAAAAAAGGAUCAAAG